AACGAACGCUGGCGGCGUGCCUAACACAUGCAAGUCGAACGAGAAAGGGGCUUCGGCUCCGAGUAAAGUGGCGCACGGGUGAGUAACACGUAGGUAACCUGCCUCUAAGAUUGGGAUAACACCGGGAAACCGGUGCUAAUACCGGAUGUCGUCAUUAGGCCGCAUGACCUGAUGAUGAAAGGAUUCAUCGGCUUCGGGAGGGGCUCGCGGGCUAUCAGCUUGUUGGGUGGGGUAACCGGCCACCAAGGCGACGACGGCUAGCUGGUCUGAGAGGACGACCAGCCACACUGGGACUGAGACACGGCCCAGACUCCUACGGGAGGCAGCAGUGGGAAUCUUGCGCAAUGGGCGAAAGCCGUGACGCAGCAACGCCGCGUGGGGAUGAAUGCC
RNAcentral lists this ribosomal RNA (390 nucleotides) under uncultured bacterium. RNAcentral's name for it is "bacterial SSU rRNA". It matches the Rfam family "Bacterial small subunit ribosomal RNA", at positions 29 to 416 of the family's 1533-position model. The record is from RNAcentral.